CAUUAACCCCGCUGAGCGAGGCCAGGGAUCGAACCUGUGUCCUCAUGGAUGCUAGUCAGAUUUGUUUCCACCAAGCCAUGGCGGGAACUCUGCAUGCUGCAGUUUAGAAAAUGCUGUCAUGUAGGUUAGCUGAUGUGACUUAGGAGGGGGCAAGGGAUUCUGGUUUCUCUCUGGAUCCAGAGCCUUCCACCGCCUUCUAUCCUCUUAGGUGAGGCGGCGAGCCACAGCCUGGGGGCGCGGGGUGGGGGCUGCCCUUUCCCGAGCUAGUUAGGUUUCAGGAUGCAUUUUUCCUGACAUCAAGAAGCUGAUUAAGUGUUCUGGUAGCGAGUCUCGUAAGGGGUCACUUGAGGUACCGCUAAGCAGAGGGAGUGGCGGACUCAACAAGUACUUGAGAGCAGGUCGGACCUUAGUGAGGCCACAUGUUAGUCAUGGGGCUGGGAAUUGUUGUAAGUGGCCCAGAGAGUGUGCACCUACCCCCCACUUUUCCUAGUGGGCGGUAAGGGGCUGCGGACGACAGGAAUUACUGGAACUGGUGAUUCAGCUCUGAUUACAAAGGAGGUAAAAAGAAAAAAUUUUUUUUUUUUUUUUAAUGAGAGAAUAACUCUUCUUUAAAACAUGCCAAGUGUAGUCAUGGGUUAUGUCCCAAAUUUGUACUUUCCCACUUGAGUGGUCCUCCUCCACAGCCAGGCUGUACAUGGAAGAAAGCAGCACUCAUUGUGCCUUUGAACUAGUUCUGUGAAUGGAAAGCCCCCGAUAGGAGCCGCAGAGUUGUUAUCACUUAAUGACGUGAUCCUGAAAAAGCUCGCAUUCCUGCUUCUCCGUUUCCUUAUUUAUAAAUAGAGACGGAAAAUAAAAAGCCCUAUUAAAGUUGAUGGGAGAGGUCGAAAUGAAUAGGAAUUUCAAACUAAUGAUCCCUUCACAUUUUUUGAUGAGGGGAAUCGGGAAGAAAGGUGAGGCUUUGGUUAGGAAAUGGUAGGUGGUUCAUGGCUGUUCGUGUACAUAAGUCUGCAGUGGAGACAGGAUUGGUCAGAGCUAACACUUGCGGUCAGUUGAAUGGUUCAACAAGAAAAGCCAUUGAGACUCCUGGAAGCGCUGCCUUUGACCCAUUUUAUGAAUAAAAAUUAAUUUCAACAAACGUUUGUGGAGCCCUCGCCGAGUGCCAUGCGGUGUCCCACGCACUGGUCAAUACUAAUAAAGGGAAAUCAUGUCUCGACCCUGAUGGAGCUUACGGCUCAGUGUGAGCCUCCAUCAAAGAUUCAGACAAAGACGGAAAACUGCAGCCCUGCUAGGUGCACUUCGGGAGGGAAGGCAGCACACAGCAGGUCUGCCAAAGAGAUCAGCUGGUCGCUCCUAAGAGGAGGCAGGACGGAGGCCCUUGUGAUCUCUGCUUUUAAACAACAGGGGCAGAGGUACUCAUGUGGCCAGUCGGUCACAAAUGGACAACCUGACAGUGGCUGUCAAGGUGCCCCGUGUGCUCCGGGCUCAGGUGGAAACGGAGAGGAUUUCUGGCACGUGUUUGCCGGUCCCUUCUCAGUUCUCCGCUGAGACCCAGAGGCUGAGAAAAUCUUUUGGCUCGUGCCAGCUGGCCUCCCAGGGCACCGGGCCUGACACUCUGCCGAGUCUGAGAGCUGUACACCGACUUGCUGUGCUGGAUCCGUGGAACUGAGAUGACAACUGAUCUUGUCCUUGAUCAGGUGGCUGCACCAGGUUUUCAUUUAAAUAUAUAAUAUUCAGUCCUUCAGCUGGAAAGGGGAUGGCUGCCACGCUGGGCAAAGCCUCCGGUGUGCUAUGGCACCACGUGACCCGCCAGGGGGACUCCCCCCUCCUCCUGCCCAGGUUGCUAGAAAAAGUAACAGGAGUCCUUGGCAGGCAGCUCUGUCUCAGAUGAUGAUGAAGAUUGGGAAACACUGAAUUAUGAAAUAAAGGAAGGCAGUUGGGGUGCUUUCAUCACCCUUGGCACAUGACUCCUAAGUUACAGUAAUGAGCUCAGCCCUGUGAUGGUAUAUCACAGGCCGCCUGGCUUGGCUUAAGCAAUUUUUUUCCAGUGUGUUCUCGUCAACAGACUCAGGAGGCAACAGCUGACCCCAAGUGGAUGACACUGGAUGGUUAAAACGGAAACGAGUGAACUGCUCCCCCAUACUCUUCUCUGGGGGAAGUGAGACAGGCAGGAUUCCGGAAGGCUCUUGUUUGAAGAGGCUGAUCGUCCUGCUCCAGGCACUUCCCUGAGUGGUGCUGAACUGCAGAGCAUGGGCGCAGAAGAGGCCGAAGGGGUUUCGGAGGAUUUCUCUUUGAGACGAGCGGACUAUUUACCCACAAUAAAAAGAGCUGGCUCCUCUUGG
This is a long non-coding RNA of Sus scrofa (pig), 2339 nucleotides long. RefSeq lists it as uncharacterized. The record is from RefSeq and is a predicted model, not a curated record. Lineage: Eukaryota; Metazoa; Chordata; Mammalia; Artiodactyla; Suidae.